GAUAGUACUUCCCCAUAAUGCAGAUGUACAUCAUCAUGUGACAUUUGGUAUACGUCAUUUCAGCUGGUAACUUCAAAAAAUAUUUCACUCCCUCGUUUGCGGGUUCAGAUGACAUAUUUCUCGGCAUUACCAUCUGCUUAAAAUUGAUUCCGAAGAACUGGAAAAUUUAUAUAAGGAUUAGGCGACCAGUUACAUCUUUAAUGGCAAUGUCAAGCCCAAAAUGUGCCAACAUCUUAAUCUAUCCGAAUGGUUUUCUUUUGUCUUAUUUAAGUAACAGCAUAUUCCUUCAAUAAUUUUCUGUAUAUGGUAAGAAGUGUUAGAAAAAAUCAAAGUUGAAAUAUCAAGGGCCAAUUUCAGGUUACAUAACUAGAUUUAAAGAUGUUCAGGAUGCAUCUACAAUGAUGUAAUGUUACGAAUCUGAUCAUUCAAAUUAAAAUCUAGAUUUGUAAACUGAAUGACCUGUGUGUUUUAACAUUGAAUAGCUGAUACCGAUGAUUCACUAAUGAUAUUUUGAUUUUCAGCUUGGACAGCAGUUAGGAUACAUAUAUUUAUUUUGUAUACCAAGUUAUCAUUGAAUAGAUCCUAAUGUUGCAAAUUGCAUUCUCUGCUCAUAUUGAUCGACGCAUUAUAGAAUAUAUGUAUUGUAACAUUACAAAAUUGAUGAUGACUUGGGUAAAUUGAUCAUUUUUACAGCACGGAAUCAUUGUAUUUUUUUCAGCCAAAAUAAGCAGCUCAUUACUAUAAAAUACUUCGAUGAAAAAUCGAAAAAAAAUGUAGUAUUUAAUUAUCGUAUUUGAUUGAUAUUAUAACUGGUUUGUUUGGUGUAUUUUGAUGAAGUUUUUUUUUCCUUGUGGCGUAUGAAACUCUCAAAUUUCGAUAAGGAGCAAGCGUAAUCGACUAUGUACAGCAAACAAGCCAGAAGAAAUGUUUACUUAAAUCAGAAUAUGUAAAUAAUUCAAAAUCAAACCUUUUAUCAGCUGUGGCACUCUCAUAUUAUUCA
Long non-coding RNA from Diprion similis, 1000 nucleotides. RefSeq lists it as uncharacterized. The record is from RefSeq and is a predicted model, not a curated record. The transcript has 2 exons. NCBI's taxonomy places the organism in Eukaryota, Metazoa, Arthropoda, Insecta, Hymenoptera, Diprionidae.